RNAcentral lists this ribosomal RNA (575 nucleotides) under Rhizobium etli. Its description in RNAcentral is "bacterial SSU rRNA". It matches the Rfam family "Bacterial small subunit ribosomal RNA", at positions 44 to 668 of the family's 1533-position model. Lineage: Bacteria; Pseudomonadati; Pseudomonadota; Alphaproteobacteria; Hyphomicrobiales; Rhizobiaceae. The record is from RNAcentral.
AGGCUUAACACAUGCAAGUCGAGCGCCCCGCAAGGGGAGCGGCAGACGGGUGAGUAACGCGUGGGAACGUACCCUUUACUACGGAAUAACGCAGGGAAACUUGUGCUAAUACCGUAUGUGCCCUUUGGGGGAAAGAUUUAUCGGUAAAGGAUCGGCCCGCGUUGGAUUAGCUAGUUGGUGGGGUAAAGGCCUACCAAGGCGACGAUCCAUAGCUGGUCUGAGAGGAUGAUCAGCCACAUUGGGACUGAGACACGGCCCAAACUCCUACGGGAGGCAGCAGUGGGGAAUAUUGGACAAUGGGCGCAAGCCUGAUCCAGCCAUGCCGCGUGAGUGAUGAAGGCCCUAGGGUUGUAAAGCUCUUUCACCGGAGAAGAUAAUGACGGUAUCCGGAGAAGAAGCCCCGGCUAACUUCGUGCCAGCAGCCGCGGUAAUACGAAGGGGGCUAGCGUUGUUCGGAAUUACUGGGCGUAAAGCGCACGUAGGCGGAUCGAUCAGUCAGGGGUGAAAUCCCAGGGCUCAACCCUGGAACUGCUUUGAUACUGUCGAUCUGGAGUAUGGAAGAAGUGAAUGGAAUU